Molecule: long non-coding RNA, 886 nt
Filed under: Homo sapiens (human)
Lineage: Eukaryota; Metazoa; Chordata; Mammalia; Primates; Hominidae
Description: HSALNT0208837
Source: RNAcentral
UGCUGUGCUAGCAAUCAGCGAGACUCCGUGGGCGUAGGACCCUCCGCGCCAGGUGCGGGAUAUAAUCUUGUGGCGCGCCGUUUUUUAAGCCGGUCUGAAAAGCGCAAUAUUUGGGUGGGAGUGACCCAAUUUUCCAGGUGCGUCCGUCACCCCUUUCUUUGACUGGGAAAGGGAACUCCCCGACCCCUUGUGCUUCCCAAGUGAGGCAAUGCCUCGCCCUGCUUAGGCUCGCGCACGGUGCGCGCACCCACUGACCUGCGCCCACUGUCUGGCGCUCCCUAGUGAGAUGAACCCAGUACAUCAGAUGGAAAUGCAGAAAUCACCCGUCUUCUGCAUCACUCACGCUGGGAGCUGUAGACCGGAGCUGUUCCUAUUCGGCCAUCUUGGCUCCUCCCAACCUGCAUAAGACCAGCAUUAUAGGCACGAGGAGAUAAACGAGAAGAGGUAGAAGCAAAGCCUCUAUCAAGAAAGCAACAUUUUCUGGAAAUCACUCAGAUCCUAGUUGGAUGUUUUCUGAUUACUCAUCCUUGAAAAAGGUAAGUUUUUGUUUUGUUGUUAUUGUUUUUCAAAAGGAGCUAUUUGCAGAAGCUCCGUGUUAGGAAGAGGCCAGAGUCUUGUUUCAGGAUAAUGGGAUGAUCCAGAAUUUUGCCUGUGAACUUUGUUACCUUUUAUUUCUAACUUGCUGAUGUGGCCAUAGGAUUAUUGACAGUACAUAGUGUAUUUCCACUCCAUGGAGAGACUAGAUGUUGGGAGCAAACAUUAUUUCAUUGUGGGCUUUCUGAUUCGGCUGUUCCCUCUGCUUUUCAAAACCAGACCAUGUCAAGAAUUCCAGCUUUCCGUGUGGGCACCCUACGUCCACUCUCAGAAACAAAGAAUUAGACUUUGC